This is a non-coding RNA of Mycena latifolia, 94 nucleotides long. The record is from the annotation of a GenBank genome assembly. Lineage: Eukaryota; Fungi; Basidiomycota; Agaricomycetes; Agaricales; Mycenaceae.
GGCCUGAUAGCACAACGGUUAGUGCAUCUGCUAAAUCUCACGCAGUAGGAGUGACUUUCUGCAGAAGAUCCCCGUUCGAUUCGGGGUCAGGUCA